Molecule: long non-coding RNA, 1110 nt
Organism: Lutra lutra (Eurasian river otter)
Lineage: Eukaryota; Metazoa; Chordata; Mammalia; Carnivora; Mustelidae
Exons: 3
Source: RefSeq, a predicted model, not a curated record
GGCUUUUUACUGAUGACUUCCCUUCUGCCAAGGACAUCUCCAUGAGAUGGGCUGCCGUCAGUAAGAUCAUAUCCGUCUUCCCGAAGGCAGAAAAGUAGGACCACCAGGCUAAGUGGUUUUGCUCAGGAUCACACAAUAAAUAAAUUAAUCACACAAAGGUUUGCUCAGGCUGUGGGUCGAAGCUGAAAAUAAGCCCUAAGCUUGGCAGUCAUCACACCCUUCCCUUAGUGGGAAACCUUAAGCUGAGUUUUCCAGGGGAGGGGGCACGUCAACAGGGAGUGGUUGUCUGCAGCACACACCCUUGGGGAUCCCAGCCGACUCUAAUAUGCCCUUCCAGCUUCUAGACUAGAAGGGAAAAUCUGAGCUUAACCUGAAGGCAUCCGAUGAGCCUUGGGAGCCAGGUCCUGAUCCAUAUUGACCCUGUGUGUAUACAAGCUCGCUUUUAUAAAACGCGAAAAGAUAUUCUCCGCUGGACAUUCCUGAGUAUCAAAGGAAAUAUGGGCUUCCAUUGCCGGUGCAACUGGAUAUUUCCUCCAUGUUCCAUCGCUGGGACCUGGCAAGCCACAUUUCCUGGCACUCAACAGCAGCCAGUCCUGGCAGCCUCGAGGUCAGACCCAUUUUUGGAGCCAAACACCCAGCAUUCCUUUACAAUUAGUGCUACAACCUCAAGGGAGGCUCUUGCCUGUCUAGAGGGACCUCUACUGGCCGCCAAAGGGAGUUGCCCAAUAUUCUAGCCUAUGUAAGACAUUUCGCUAGACACCUCCGACUCCUUGUCACAAAAGAAGCCUCCCGCUUCUUUUGCUAAUUGCCCUGUGGUUAAUGAUGACAGGUAGGGUUGACAGCAUGAGUAAGUCGAAGUUACUGCCCUUGCUAAUUAAAGCUGUGAAGUACACUUUCUGUAAAACAUGAAGCCACCGGGUUUUCAGAUGUGCCCAACUUCCCGGCUUUGGCAGCAAGGGUCCUGAACUGGAACAAGACACUUGUCUAUCAAGGGGUGUAACCUGCCCAGCUACAGGGUGACGGCAGGAUACUUCCUUUCUAGAGGCUUUGUGGCAGUAACUGUAUGCUGGAGCUCACUUAGAAAAGGAUAGACUGUCGUGCUCGAGGCCA